UGCCUACGGGGGGCAGCAGUCGGGAAUAUUGCGCAAUGGAGGAAACUCUGACGCAGUGACGCCGCGUAUAGGAAGAAGGUUUUCGGAUUGUAAACUAUUGUCGUGAGGGAAGAAAUUGACAGUACCUCAGGAGGAAGCUCCGGCUAACUAUGUGCCAGCAGCCGCGGUAAUACAUAGGGAGCAAGCGUUAUCCGGAUUUACUGGGUGUAAAGGGGGCGCAGACGGCGAUGCAAGCCAGGAGUGAAAGCCCGGGGCCCAACCCCGGGACUGCUCUUGGAACUGCGUGGCUGGAGUGCAGGAGGGGC
RNAcentral lists this ribosomal RNA (305 nucleotides) under uncultured bacterium. RNAcentral describes it as "bacterial SSU rRNA". It matches the Rfam family "Bacterial small subunit ribosomal RNA", at positions 335 to 658 of the family's 1533-position model. The record is from RNAcentral.